UACGUAGGGUGCAAGCGUUAUCCGGAAUUAUUGGGCGUAAAGAGUGUGUAGGCGGUGCUCUAAGUCUGUCGUGAAAUCUCCCGGCUUAACCGGGAGGCUGCGGCGGAAACUGGUGUGCUAGAGGGUGGGAGAGGUAAUCGGAAUUCCUGGUGCAGCGGUGAAAUGCGUAGAUAUCAGGAGGAACACCUGCGGUGUAGACAGCUUACUGGACCACUUCUGACGCUGAGACACGAAAGCGUGGGUAGCAAACAGG
Molecule: ribosomal RNA, 253 nt
Filed under: uncultured bacterium
Lineage: Bacteria
Description: partial 16S ribosomal RNA
Rfam family: Bacterial small subunit ribosomal RNA
Source: RNAcentral